UAAACGAUACCAGACGAGGAAUAAGGGUCUUAUCUAGAGAAACGAUCAGUCAAUUUCGAAAAAAAUGUAUAUGCUUUAUAUAAACAAAUGAUCGCCUUCCAAGUGCUUCCACCAAAACCGCACUUUCGUAUUCUUCAAAAAGCUUACGCUGUAUGUCCUACGCCUUCCCUAUUCAACUUACGGAACGAACGCAGCGCCAGUUAAAUUUUUUCCGUAAGUUGAAUAGCACUUGGAAGGUGAUCAUUUGUUUAUAUAAAGCAUAUACAUUUACAUUUUUUUCGAAAAUGACCGAUCGUUUCGCUAGAUAAGACUCUUAUUCCUCGUCUGGUAUCGUUUAAAGCCCUUUGAAGCUGCACUGAAACUAUAAUUUUGACCUUCAACCGUUUGGAGUCCAUUGAAGUCCACUAUAAGGAGAAUAAUCCUGGAAUGUUUUCAUCAAAAACCUUAAUUUCUUUUCGACUGAAGAAAGAAAGAGAUGGACAUCUUGGAUGACAUGGGGUUGCCUACACAUACAUGGAUAUAGAGAUGAGCCAAAACAUUAGGACCACCUCCCUAAUAUCCUGUUGGUCCUCCGUGUGCUGCCAAAACAGUGCCGACCCGCUGAGGCAUGGACUUGUUGGUCCAGCACAUCCCACAGCUGCUCGCAUGGAUUGAGAUCUGGGGAGUUUGGAGGCCAGAGCAACACCUUGAACUCUUCAUCAUGUUGAGUGUGUGGUAGGGUGUAUUAUCCUGCUGAAAGAGGCCACUUCCACCAGUAAACACCACUGUCAUGAAGGUGUUUCCCAGCAGAACAUAGAGCAUCAUGAUCACACUCCCUCCAUCGGCUCCUCGUCAUCCCACAGGAGAGGCUACUCACUGCAGAGCCAUGGGUGGAGUAUAACCUCCAGCUCCCCCUCCCUCGACCUACUGUGGGCAUGAUGGGUGGAGCUGCAUCCUCCAAUUACACCCUACCCUACCCAUAACCCUAUCUCUCCAUCCAUUAAACAGUUGAAGCUCCACCUUCAUGCUCCAGAGAGGUGGAGUUGGAGGUCAUUUGGCUCUGCAGCGAGCACCACUUGUCCCACAGUGAUCCUGGUGCAUCACUUCCCCAGGUAAACGCCACACACAUCCAUGUGAUUUAAAAUAAAACGGGACUUAUCGAACCAGAUGACCUUCUACUGCUCCAAGUUCCAGUUCCGAUGCUCAUGAGCCCAUAGGUGCUUUCGACGGGGGACAGGGGUCAUCGUAGACACUCUGGGAUACACAACUCCAUACAGAGCAAAGUGUGAUGCAUUGUGUGUUGUGAUACAUUCAUCCCAUAACUAUCCCGUCUGGUCCGUGCCAACAGAAGCUAUACUGUGACGCAAGUCACAUAAAUUGUAAUGGGCAUUUGGACGUAAACCCGGGAGCGCUGCACUGUGCUUACUGUGUCAACUACGUAAGAGACUGCCAGGGGAGAGAAGAAAUUAUUCAACAAAGUUGUUAUUUUUGAUUUGUUUUUGGGUUAACUAACUCUUUAACUGUGUAAAUUUAUAAUUUCCUUUUCAUUAUUUUUUCAUUUAAAUUUGAAGUUAAAAUAAAUGUAUUUUAAAAUUUAGAAAUACAGCCUUGCUUUAUUAGGCAAUUGCGCAGUGAAAAUUACCCCAAAGUACCACCUACUGUCCAACCUUGGGAUAUUUUACUUUAAUAUAACAAUUUUUGUUUGGCAGCCAUUGCAGCCAGUCAUUUGACCGUUUUGUUUUUUUUCAUGAGAAAUUAUGCCAACUGUCCUUUUGUGCCAUCUGGUGGUGAUUGUGAAAAUUAUAUUCAGUCCAGCAUCACAAGAUGGCAGUGUUUGACCAUUCUUAUACUCUUAAAAACAGGUCAGUCACUUUGGAAGUUUUUUUUCCCACCUGAUUAUGAUAUAUAACACACAACUGUGACACAACAAAUUUAAAGCACAUAUAUUGAGUGUAAAAUGUUCAUUAAAAGACUUUCUAAAAAUGUCUUAGAAUAAUAGAUAAAAUCAACACAAUUUCUAUA
This is a long non-coding RNA of Ctenopharyngodon idella (grass carp), 2001 nucleotides long. RefSeq lists it as uncharacterized. The transcript has 2 exons. Lineage: Eukaryota; Metazoa; Chordata; Actinopteri; Cypriniformes; Xenocyprididae. The record is from RefSeq and is a predicted model, not a curated record.